This 440-nucleotide ribosomal RNA is filed under the name uncultured bacterium. Its description in RNAcentral is "partial 16S ribosomal RNA". It matches the Rfam family "Bacterial small subunit ribosomal RNA", at positions 338 to 795 of the family's 1533-position model. The record is from RNAcentral.
CCUACGGGUGGCAGCAGUGGGGAAUAUUGCACAAUGGGGGAAACCCUGAUGCAGCGACGCCGCGUGAGCGAAGAAGUAUCUCGGUAUGUACAGCUCUAUCAUCAGAGAAGAAAAUGCCGGUACCUGACUAAUAAGCCCCGGCUAACUACGUGCCAGCAACCGCGGUAAUACUUAGGGGGCAAGCGUUAGCCGGAUUUACUGGGUGUAACGGGCGCGCAGGCGGCGCGGUAAGUCGGAUGUGAAAGCCCGGGGCUCAACCCCGGGACUGCAUUGGAAACUGUCGUGCUGGAGUGUCGGAGGGGCAAGUGGAAGUCCUGGUGGAGCGGUGAAAUGCGUAGAUAUUAGGAGGAACACCAGUGGCGAAGGCGGCUUGCUGGACGACAACUGACGCUGAGGCUCGAAAGCGUGGGGAGCAAACAGGAUUAGAUACCCCUGUAGUC